This 253-nucleotide ribosomal RNA is filed under the name uncultured bacterium. RNAcentral's name for it is "partial 16S ribosomal RNA". It matches the Rfam family "Bacterial small subunit ribosomal RNA", at positions 524 to 776 of the family's 1533-position model. The record is from RNAcentral.
UACAGAGGGUGCGAGCGUUGUUCGGAAUUAUUGGGCGUAAAGGGCACGUAGGCGGUGCGGUAAGUCACCUGUGAAAUCUCCUGGCUCAACUGGGAGCUUGCAGGCGAAACUGCCGUGCUGGAGUGUGGGAGGGGUGCGUGGAAUUCCUGGUGUAGCGGUGAAAUGCGUAGAUAUCAGGAGGAACACCUGUGGCGAAAGCGGCGCACUGGACCACAACUGACGCUGAGGCGCGAAAGCUAGGGGAGCAAACAGG